UACGUAGGGGGCUAGCGUUGUCCGGAAUCAUUGGGCGUAAAGCGUGUGUAGGCGGGCCCGUAAGUGUCUUGUGAAAUCCCACGGCUCAACCGUGGAACUGCUGGGCAUACUGCGGGUCUUGGGCCAACUAGGGGCAGCCGGAACAAGCGGUGGAGCGGUGAAAUGCGUAGAUAUCGCUUGGAACGCCGAAGGUGAAAACAGGCUGCUGGGGUUGCGCCGACGCUGAGACACGAAAGCCAGGGGAGCAAACGGG
Molecule: ribosomal RNA, 253 nt
Filed under: uncultured bacterium
Lineage: Bacteria
Description: partial 16S ribosomal RNA
Rfam family: Bacterial small subunit ribosomal RNA
Source: RNAcentral